This 1083-nucleotide ribosomal RNA is filed under the name Triticum aestivum (bread wheat). RNAcentral describes it as "partial small subunit ribosomal RNA". Lineage: Eukaryota; Viridiplantae; Streptophyta; Magnoliopsida; Poales; Poaceae. The record is from RNAcentral.
AUGGAUGCAGAAGAAAAGGAAUGGAAUGUGCCACUGAUUCGCCAGAUUUUUCAUGAGUUUGACGCUGACGAAAUAUGCAAAAUCCCCAUCCCAAGAACAGAGGCAAAAGAUUGUAUCGCAUGGCACUAUGAGAAGAAUGAAAUUUUUUCGAUUAGGAGUGCUUACAGACUGGCUGCCUCCACUCUCCAGACACAACAAGCACGUCCUUCAAGCUCAACACGAGAUGCACAUGACCGUAGCAUUUGGGACCUUAUUUGGAAAGCGAAAGUACCGGGAAAAAUUCAGAUCUUUGCAUGGAGGAUAGCUACAAAUACCCUCGCCACAAAAAAGAACAAAUACAGGAGGACACUCGAGGUGGACUCAAUCUGUAAUAUCUAUGGCAAUGGUGAAGAGAACGAGUACCAUGCGGUAAUUUCCUGUACUAAGAGCAGAGCCCUCAGGGAAGCCAUGAGGAAAGAAUGACACCUCCCACCGGAGAAAUCAUUCAGAUACACCGGAACAGAGUGGCUGCAGAUGCUCCUUGACCCUGAAUCCGAAGAAAAUCGCGCUAACAUCCUAUUCCUUCUCUGGAGAUGUUGGCACUUGCGGGAAGACUGCAUCCGAAGCUCAGGAAAGGAGUCAAUCGUUGGCUCGGUACAAUUCUUGACUAUGUACUCAGAUGAGUUCCGAGGCGCGACAACAAUGAGGGAUAUAGAUAAAGAUGUGAGCUUGGGAGCUAGUAGUGGACAGGGUACGAGCCAGGCGCAGCCAAAAAUUCAGUGGUCUAGACCCCCCAUGGGAUCGGUCAAGUUGAAUACUGACGCCUCAUAUAUGGCAGAUUCAGGCGAGUCCGCUGCAGGAGCCGUUGGCAGAGACAGUAAAGGAAAUAUUCUCAUCUCUGUCAGCCAUAGGAUGUCGCCCUGCCGCAGCGUCGAGGAAGCAGAGGCGAAAGCUGCUCUACUUGGUCUUAACAAACUCUUGAGAGUUUAUAGAGGUCCUCCGAUUUUGGAACUAGACAGCCAAGUGAUUGCAAAUGCUCUGAAGCUGGGGACUGCUCUCGUUCCCCUUACUAUGCGCUGCUCAUUGACAUCAAGGGAGCUCUGA